RNAcentral lists this transfer RNA (72 nucleotides) under Capra hircus (goat). It matches the Rfam family "tRNA". From Rfam's summary of the family: Transfer RNA (tRNA) molecules are approximately 80 nucleotides in length. Their secondary structure includes four short double-helical elements and three loops (D, anti-codon, and T loops). RNAcentral also lists the same sequence under 1 other name. The record is from Rfam by way of RNAcentral. Lineage: Eukaryota; Metazoa; Chordata; Mammalia; Artiodactyla; Bovidae.
UCCCUGGUGGUCCAGUGGGUAUGAUUCUGCACUUCCAAAACAGGGGGCCCAGGUUCAAUCCUGGUCAGGGGA